Molecule: ribosomal RNA, 440 nt
Filed under: uncultured bacterium
Lineage: Bacteria
Description: partial 16S ribosomal RNA
Rfam family: Bacterial small subunit ribosomal RNA
Source: RNAcentral
CCUACGGGUGGCAGCAGUGGGGGAUAUUGCACAAUGGGGGGAACCCUGAUGCAGCGACGCCGCGUGGGUGAAGAAGCGCCUCGGCGCGUAAAGCCCUGUCAGCAGGGAAGAAAAUGACGGUACCUGAAGCAGAAGCCCCGGCUAACUACGUGCCAGCAGCCGCGGUAAUACGUAGGGGGCAAGCGUUAUCCGGAUUUACUGGGUGUAAAGGGGGCGCAGACGGCGAUGCAAGCCAGGAGUGAAAGCCCGGGGCCCAACCCCGGGACUGCUCGUGGAACUGCGGGGCUAGAGUGCAGGAGGGGCAGGCGGAAUGCAUGGUGUAGCGGUGAAAUGCAUAGAUAUCAGGCGGAACACCGAUGGCGAAGGCGGCCUGCUGGACUGCAACUGACGUUGAGGCCCGAAAGCGUGGGGAGCAAACAGGAUUAGAUACCCUUGUAGUC